UACGGGGGGGGGCAAGCGUUGUUCGGAAUUACUGGGCGUAAAGGGCUCGUAGGCGGCCAACUAAGUCAGACGUGAAAUCCCUCGGCUUAACCGGGGAACGGCGUCUGAUACUGGAUGGCUAGAGGUUGGGAGAGGGAUGCGGAAUUCCAGGUGUAGCGGUGAAAUGCGUAGAUAUCUGGAGGAACACCGGUGGCGAAGGCGGCAUCCUGGACCAAUUCUGACGCUGAGGAGCGAAAGCCAGGGGAGCAAACGGG
RNAcentral lists this ribosomal RNA (254 nucleotides) under uncultured Acidobacteriota bacterium. RNAcentral describes it as "uncultured Acidobacteria bacterium partial 16S ribosomal RNA". It matches the Rfam family "Bacterial small subunit ribosomal RNA", at positions 524 to 776 of the family's 1533-position model. The record is from RNAcentral. Lineage: Bacteria; Pseudomonadati; Acidobacteriota.